AAUGGGCGAAAGCCUGACGGAGCAACGCCGCGUGAGGGAUGAAGGCCUCUGGGCUGUAAACCUCUUUUAUCAAGGAAGAAGAUCUGACGGUACUUGAUGAAUAAGCCACGGCUAAUUCCGUGCCAGCAGCCGCGGUAAUACGGGAGUGGCAAGCGUUAUCCGGAAUUAUUGGGCGUAAAGCGUCCGCAGGCGGCCCUUCAAGUCUGCUGUUAAAAAGUGGAGCUUAACUCCAUCAUGGCAGUGGAAACUGUUGGGCUUGAGUGUGGUAGGGGCAGAGGGAAUUCCCGGUGUAGCGGUGAAAUGCGUAGAUACCGGGAAGAACACCAGUGGCGAAGGCGCUCUGCUGGGCCAUCACUGACGCUCAUGGACGAAAGCCAGGGGAGCGAAAGGGAUU
Molecule: ribosomal RNA, 394 nt
Filed under: uncultured Gammaproteobacteria bacterium
Lineage: Bacteria; Pseudomonadati; Pseudomonadota; Gammaproteobacteria
Description: bacterial SSU rRNA
Rfam family: Bacterial small subunit ribosomal RNA
Source: RNAcentral